UUGAACGCUGGCGGUAUGCUUUACACAUGCAAGUCGAACGGGCUAUGGGGCUUGCUCCAUAGUUAGUGGCGAACGGGUGAGUAACAUAUCGGAACAUGUCCGGAAGUGGGGGAUAACGUAGCGAAAGUUACGCUAAUACCGCAUAUGCCCUGAGGGGGAAAGGGGGGGAUCGCAAGACCUCUCGCUUUCGGAGUGGCCGAUAUCGGAUUAGCUAGUUGGUGAGGUAAAGGCUCACCAAGGCGACGAUCCGUAGCUGGUCUGAGAGGACGACCAGCCACACUGGAACUGAGACACGGUCCAGACUCCUACGGGAGGCAGCAGUGGGGAAUUUUGGACAAUGGGCGCAAGCCUGAUCCAGCCAUACCGCGUGAGUGAAGAAGGCCUUCGGGUUGUAAAGCUCUUUCAGCCGGAAAGAAAUUGCUUCUAUUAAUACUAGGAGUAGAUGACGGUACCGGAAGAAGAAGCACCGGCUAACUACGU
This 480-nucleotide ribosomal RNA is filed under the name uncultured bacterium. Its description in RNAcentral is "bacterial SSU rRNA". It matches the Rfam family "Bacterial small subunit ribosomal RNA", at positions 30 to 506 of the family's 1533-position model. The record is from RNAcentral.